RNAcentral lists this ribosomal RNA (253 nucleotides) under uncultured bacterium. RNAcentral's name for it is "partial 16S ribosomal RNA". It matches the Rfam family "Bacterial small subunit ribosomal RNA", at positions 524 to 776 of the family's 1533-position model. The record is from RNAcentral.
GACGAACCGUGCAAACGUUAUUCGGAAUCACUGGGCAUAAAGGGCGCGUAGGCGGCUCCAAAAGUCAGGGGUGAAAUCCGGCAGCUUAACUGUCGCAGUGCCUUUGAUACUGUGGAGCUAGAGGGAGGUAGGGGUCUGUGGAACUUCCGGUGGAGCGGUGAAAUGCGUUGAUAUCGGAAGGAACGCCGGUGGCGAAGGCGACGGACUGGAUCUCUUCUGACGCUGAGGCGCGAAAGCCAGGGGAGCAAACGGG